CCUACGGGAGGCAGCAGUGAGGAAUAUUGGUCAAUGGCCGGAAGGCUGAACCAGCAAUGCCGCGUGAAGGUCAGUGCCCUAUGGGCGUUAAACUUCUUUUGUGCGGGAGCAAUAAUGGUCACGUGUGGCCAGACGCGCGUACCGUACGAAUAAGCAUCGGCUCACUACGUGCUAGCAGCCGAGGGAAUUCGGGGGGUGCAAGCGUUAUCGGGAUUUAAUGGGUUUAAAGGGUGCGUAGGGUGGGAGUUAAGUCAGCGGGUAAAUGCCCCCGCUCAACGGGGUGAAGUGCCAUUGAUACUGUCUGGCUUGAAUGAGGAUGCCGUGGGAGGAAUGUGUGGUGUAGCGGUGAAAUGCAUAGAUAUC
This 363-nucleotide ribosomal RNA is filed under the name uncultured bacterium. RNAcentral's name for it is "partial 16S ribosomal RNA". It matches the Rfam family "Bacterial small subunit ribosomal RNA", at positions 338 to 698 of the family's 1533-position model. The record is from RNAcentral.